GGAGCACUGUGACAUGCCACUGGGCUCAGCACCCAGGUGAUGUUCCUCUCCUGCCUGGUCCCUUCCAUCAGGGAAUAUUGUACAAAUCUCUGGCCAAGCACCCAGUUGAUGUGACUCUCCUGCUCACUACCUACUCACAGGUUACAUGUCCCAUGUCGCAGAAAAUGUUGUAAUGUAUUGCUGGACCCAGUCACCAGAUGAUGUGUCUCUCCUGCCAAGGCUGUGCCCACAGAGAGCAUUUUGACAUAUCACUGGGCUCAGCACCCAGGUGAAAUGACUCUGCUGCCUGUACUCUGCUUUAAGAGGGGAUUGUAAUAUAUCUGUGGCUGAGCACCUAGGUGAGAUGACUUCUGCGUGGUUUCUGACCUCAGGAAAGAUUGUGACAUAUCUUUGCCGAAAACCUACAUGAUGUGAAUCUGCUGCUCACUUCCUACCGACAGGAGGGAUUGAGACAAUUCUGGAAGCCCAGCACCUAGGUGAUGUGACUUUCAUCUUUUGUUUGGACCGUGUGCACAAAAGGAAGAGUGGCUUAUCACUGGACCUCACACACAGGAGAGAUUGUGACAUAUCUCUGGAAACAGAACCUUAGUGAUGUGACUCUUGUCUCCUGCUGAAGCCAUGCCCACACAAGGGAAAGUGACUUAUCACUGGGCCCAGCACACAGCGCUAUUCACAGGAAAAAUAGUGACACAUCUGUGGGGUUCUCACCGAAAUGAUGUGACUCUCUUGCCUGGGCUCACCUCUCAAGGGAAUUUUGACAUAUUACUGGACCAAGCACCUAGGCCCUGCAUUUAUUGUGUAUUGUGACAUAUGGCUUGGUCCAACACCUAGGUGGUGUGACUCUCUACUUCUUCCUGGGCCAUGCCAAAGAAGAGGAUUGUGACAUGUCACUGGAUCCAGCACCUAGGUCUUUUCCCACAGGGAGCAUUGUGAAAUAUCACUGGGCUCAGCCACCAGGUUAUGUGACCUUCCUGCCUUGCCCUGCUUCCAGGAAAUGUUGUGACAUCCCUCAUACAGCACCCAGGAGACAUGACCCAAAAAGGGAUUAUGACAUAUCUCUGAGCCCAACACCCAAAUGUUGUGACUCUCCUGCCUGGGCUGUGCCUAGAGAAAAUAUAAUAUGUCACUGGGCCCUGCAUGCAAGUGAUCUGAUUCUCCAGCCUGGGCCUUGCCCACAGGGGAGAUUGAGACAUAUUCCAGGUGGAUGGUGACUCUAAGACCAGGAUUCAACACAACUAGAAGGCUUUGACUCUAAUACAAGUCACAGAAGGCUCUGCGACUCUUCUAUUUUCUCUAGGUUAUGCAAAUGGAGGUGGAUUGUGACAUAUCAUAGGGCCAACACAACACACAGUCUACAGGUGGAAUUGGGACUCUCAUGCAUGGAUCCAGUUCAUCAUUGAUACUGUGACUCAUGUACUUGGAUGCAACUCACAGGGGGUGUUGACGCUUUUACCUGAAGCUGGGACAUGUGUGGAAUUGUGAAUCUUAGCCCUAGAUCUUCCCACAAGUAUGACUGUGACAUAUACUUUUGCCUAGCACCUGAGUGAUUUUACUUCCCUGCCUGGGCCCAGCUCUCAGAAAAGAUUGUGAUGUGACUCUCUUGCUUGAGCCCUACCCACAGAGGCUAUUGUGAAAUUUCACUGGGCCCAGCACUUAGGUCAUGUGACUCUUAUUUUCAGCCUGGGCCCUGUCCACAAAGUCACUGUGAGAUGUCACUGAGCCCAGCACCUCUGUGAUGUGACUGUACUGCCUGGGCCCUGCCCACA
Molecule: RNA transcript, 1766 nt
Organism: Pan troglodytes (chimpanzee)
Lineage: Eukaryota; Metazoa; Chordata; Mammalia; Primates; Hominidae
Exons: 9
Source: RefSeq, a predicted model, not a curated record